Molecule: small nuclear RNA, 106 nt
Organism: Protopterus annectens (West African lungfish)
Lineage: Eukaryota; Metazoa; Chordata; Ceratodontiformes; Protopteridae
Source: RefSeq, a predicted model, not a curated record
AUGUUCUGCGAUAAGUGUAUAUACUAAAACUGGAAUGAUAGAGAGAUGAUUACCACAGCUCCUGCACAAGGAUGGUAUGCAAAUUUGUGAAACGGCCCAUAUAAGG